This 934-nucleotide ribosomal RNA is filed under the name Mycobacterium sp. RNAcentral describes it as "bacterial SSU rRNA". It matches the Rfam family "Bacterial small subunit ribosomal RNA", at positions 51 to 998 of the family's 1533-position model. The record is from RNAcentral. Lineage: Bacteria; Bacillati; Actinomycetota; Actinomycetes; Mycobacteriales; Mycobacteriaceae.
ACACAUGCAAGUCGAACGGAAAGGCCCUUUCGGGGGUGCUCGAGUGGCGAACGGGUGAGUAACACGUGGGUGAUCUGCCCUGCACUUUGGGAUAAGCCUGGGAAACUGGGUCUAAUACCGAAUAGGACCAUGGGAUGCAUGUCUUGUGGUGGAAAGCUUUUGCGGUGUGGGAUGGGCCCGCGGCCUAUCAGCUUGUUGGUGGGGUGAUGGCCUACCAAGGCGACGACGGGUAGCCGGCCUGAGAGGGUGUCCGGCCACACUGGGACUGAGAUACGGCCCAGACUCCUACGGGAGGCAGCAGUGGGGAAUAUUGCACAAUGGGCGCAAGCCUGAUGCAGCGACGCCGCGUGGGGGAUGACGGCCUUCGGGUUGUAAACCCCUUUCAGUACCGACGAAGCGUAAGUGACGGUAGGUACAGAAGAAGCACCGGCCAACUACGUGCCAGCAGCCGCGGUAAUACGUAGGGUGCGAGCGUUGUCCGGAAUUACUGGGCGUAAAGAGCUCGUAGGUGGUUUGUCGCGUUGUCCGUGAAAACUCACAACUCAAUUGUGGGCGUGCGGGCGAUACGGGCAGACUGGAGUACUGCAGGGGAGACUGGAAUUCCUGGUGUAGCGGUGGAAUGCGCAGAUAUCAGGAGGAACACCGGUGGCGAAGGCGGGUCUCUGGGCAGUAACUGACGCUGAGGAGCGAAAGCGUGGGGAGCGAACAGGAUUAGAUACCCUGGUAGUCCACGCCGUAAACGGUGGGUACUAGGUGUGGGUUUCCUUCCUUGGGAUCCGUGCCGUAGCUAACGCAUUAAGUACCCCGCCUGGGGAGUACGGCCGCAAGGCUAAAACUCAAAGGAAUUGACGGGGGCCCGCACAAGCGGCGGAGCAUGUGGAUUAAUUCGAUGCAACGCGAAGAACCUUACCUGGGUUUGACAUGCACAGGACGC